UGAGCAGCUUUGCUUUUUCCCUUAAAAUUCCACCAUUGCUUACACUAACUGCGCCUCCUUCUACUAAGCUUCUGAUAAACACCAAUUUCUCACCUUUUUUCUUCAAUACCUGUAAGCUUCUUAUCUCACUUUCUUGAAAUUAUUUGUUUAUUUAUUUAUAUAUUUUUCUUUUUGGUUGAUGAAAAAGGGGAUAAUGUUACUGUUAAUUGUUAAAGAUUGAUGCUUUUAGCUAUUUGGGAGGUGGGUUUUUCUUGAAUUGAGUGGUUAGUAAUUGAGAUAAAAGUAUGAAUGCAAUUUACUUGUAGUUAGUAAGCUUGUAAUCUCAUUUUGUAUUUUGGUUGAAGAAAAGGGGAAUAAUGUUAUUGUGAUUGUUAAUAUGAAAAAUUGAUGCUUUUAUCUAUAUGGUAGGUGGGUUUUUGUUUUUCUAGAGUUGAGUAGUUGGUAAUUGUGAUAAAGUAUUAAUGCAAUUUAGUUGUAGUUACUGAGCUUCUAUUUCAUUUUCUUGAUGGGUUUUUUUGUUGGUGUUGUAUCUUUGGGGAUAAUAUUAUUGAUAUUGUUGAACAUUGUUAAUGAACAUUGAUGGUUUUAGCUAUUGAUGGGUGGGUUUUUCUUGAGUUUAGUAGUUAGUGUUUCUUUUAUGGGACAAUGUUAUU
This 653-nucleotide long non-coding RNA is filed under the name Capsicum annuum. Its description in RNAcentral is "long non-coding RNA (CANN_LNC020222)". The record is from RNAcentral. Lineage: Eukaryota; Viridiplantae; Streptophyta; Magnoliopsida; Solanales; Solanaceae.